UGCGCAGGCGGAUGAAUGUGUCAGGUGUGAAAUCUCGGGGCUCAACCUCGAAACUGCGCCUGAAACUGUUCAUCUAGAGUAUUGGAGAGGUAAGCGGAAUUUCCGGUGUAGCGGUGAAAUGCGUAGAUAUAGGAAGGAACACCAGUGGCGAAGGCGGCUACCUGGACCAACACUGACACUGAGGUGCGAAAGCGUGGGGAGCAAACA
Molecule: ribosomal RNA, 207 nt
Filed under: uncultured bacterium
Lineage: Bacteria
Description: partial 16S ribosomal RNA
Rfam family: Bacterial small subunit ribosomal RNA
Source: RNAcentral